AGGCUCAGAAAAACACCACUGCGUGUCCUCAUCCAGCAGAUCUGACCCCGUGCAACUGCUGGCUUUUGUUCCAAGUUAAAGUUACAGUCAAAGUGCCUGCGUGGGAGCUGCCCUGCCUGCUGCCCAGAUCCGGAGAGAAUCAUGCUGCGUGUCACUAGCAUGGCAAAAGAUCAAGUUCAAAAGUCCAAGUCCAGCUUCUUCUCAGUGCACCUCACUGUCACACUACUGAGAAGCAGAACUCGUCACGUCGGAACACUAAAACCCUGCCCGUAUGGAGCCAGCGAGGCUGUACCGAAACGCUGCGACUGGACCUGGCCUACGGCUGCUUGUCUGCUGGCCGUAGCUACUCCGUCUCCCAUUCUCAGCUACUCCUGUGGAGCCCACAUCUCAUCAGCUGGAGGUGGAGCAGAGACCUGUGAGUGCCCGCUGGCUCCUGCUCUCCCCUACUCUAUAUCCCGCUACUCUUCUUGCCUGUCCUGUGGACCCCAAGCCCUGGAGAAGACAUCGGCUUCACCAAGACGGUUGAGCCAGCUCCCCGAGCUGUGUAAAGUGCAGCCCCCGUCACACACACGUGUACACACACACGUGUACACACACAGGAGACCUCCUAGUGCUUCCAUGUCUCUAAACUCGAGCACAGAAUGUUGCUUCCUUCCUUUUUUCUUCAUAACAGCCAUGGAAAUGCCUCUCUCCCACUGAGGUACCUUUGUGAGUUACACAUCAUUUUGUCAGUCCGACAGACCGUGCAGCAAUAAAC
Fukomys damarensis (Damara mole-rat) is the source of this 757-nucleotide long non-coding RNA. RefSeq lists it as uncharacterized. Lineage: Eukaryota; Metazoa; Chordata; Mammalia; Rodentia; Bathyergidae. The transcript has 3 exons. The record is from RefSeq and is a predicted model, not a curated record.